GAUGAACGCUGGCGGCGUGCUUAACACAUGCAAGCCGAACGAAGCAAUUGGAGUGCUUGCACUUUGAUUGACUGAGUGGCGGACGGGUGAGUAACGCGUGGGUAACCUGCCUCACAUAGGGGGACAACAGUUGGAAACGACUGCUAAUACCGCAUAAGCGCACAGUAUCGCAUGAUACAGUGUGAAAAACUCCGGUGGUGUGAGAUGGACCCGCGUCUGAUUAGCUAGUUGGUAAGGUAACGGCUUACCAAGGCGACGAUCAGUAGCCGGCCUGAGAGGGUGAACGGCCACAUUGGGGCUGAGACACGGCCCAA
This 314-nucleotide ribosomal RNA is filed under the name uncultured bacterium. RNAcentral's name for it is "bacterial SSU rRNA". It matches the Rfam family "Bacterial small subunit ribosomal RNA", at positions 28 to 334 of the family's 1533-position model. The record is from RNAcentral.